AUAAGCCACGCCUAUUGUGGUUAUUACAACUCCGCCCAUUUUAAUAAUUAUCCGCGCCCAUCACUCCUUAUUGUGUACAUGACUGUGUAUGAUUUUUCCUUAGAAUCCUUCCUCUCUUGAAUGCAAGUUUCCCUCCUUGCAAAAAGACGGAGCCCACUCGCAAUUAAAGCAAUCCCAGUCAAGAAGAUAGAAAACCACCAUUACUCUCACCCUAAGCUCUGUCUUUAAAUUAUGAAGAAAUCCAAUUCCACCAGUAUGAUAUCGGACUUUCUCCACCAUCACCAUGGCAACGGAGAGGAACGUGGGGUCGGGCGGAGUGGAGGAGGAGAGAGGGGCAGUCAUAUCGGAGCCGGUCUUCAAGGUCGACGGAAUAUUUCGACUAGUAAUGCAUCUCUUCCCGGGGAUAUCCCCGUUAAUAUAAUGCCUUGGGCAAGCCCUAUUAGACGCCAGCCACUUGCUUCUCCUCUCCCUUUGUCUCGAGUAAAUUCACCAACUUCGAGACAACAUCGUGUGGAACAACUGAGAAAAGAAGAAAGUGUUGAUGAGAGGGUUAGAGAGGUCGAGCAAGAUAGGUAUGGGA
Molecule: long non-coding RNA, 580 nt
Organism: Amphimedon queenslandica
Lineage: Eukaryota; Metazoa; Porifera; Demospongiae; Haplosclerida; Niphatidae
Exons: 4
Source: RefSeq, a predicted model, not a curated record